Molecule: ribosomal RNA, 253 nt
Filed under: uncultured bacterium
Lineage: Bacteria
Description: partial 16S ribosomal RNA
Rfam family: Bacterial small subunit ribosomal RNA
Source: RNAcentral
UACAGAGGUCCCAAGCGUUGUUCGGAUUCACUGGGCGUAAAGGGUGCGUAGGCGGUCGGGUAAGUCUGAUGUGAAAUCUUGGAGCCUAACUCCGAAACUGCAUUGGAUACUAUUCGGCUUGAGGAAUGGAGGGGAGACUGGAAUGCUCGGUGUAGCAGUGAAAUGCGUAGAUAUCGAGCGGAACACCAGUGGCGAAGGCGAGUCUCUGGACAUUUCCUGACGCUGAGGCACGAAAGCCAGGGGAGCAAACGGG